AGUGAACGCUGGCGGUAGGCCUAACACAUGCAAGUCGAACGGCAGCACAGUAAGAGCUUGCUCUUACGGGUGGCGAGUGGCGGACGGGUGAGGAAUACAUCGGAAUCUACUUUUUCGUGGGGGAUAACGUAGGGAAACUUACGCUAAUACCGCAUACGACCUACGGGUGAAAGCAGGGGAUCUUCGGACCUUGCGCGAUUGAAUGAGCCGAUGUCGGAUUAGCUAGUUGGCGGGGUAAAGGCCCACCAAGGCGACGAUCCGUAGCUGGUCUGAGAGGAUGAUCGGCGACACUGGAACUGAGACGCGGUCCAGGCUCCUACGGGAGGGCGCAGUGGGGAAUAUUGGACAAUGGGGGCAAGCCUGAUCCAGCCAUACCGAGUGGGUGAAGAAGGCCUUCGGGUUGUAAAGCCCUUUUGUUGGGAAAGAAAAGCAGCAGGUUAAUACCCCGCUGUUCUGACGGUACCCAAAGAAUAAGCACCGGCUAACUUCGUG
Molecule: ribosomal RNA, 492 nt
Filed under: uncultured bacterium
Lineage: Bacteria
Description: partial 16S ribosomal RNA
Rfam family: Bacterial small subunit ribosomal RNA
Source: RNAcentral